AUGUAGCUGACGGGUCUUAAAUAGGACGAGACGCUCGUCCUGGAU
Molecule: non-coding RNA, 45 nt
Filed under: Schistosoma margrebowiei
Lineage: Eukaryota; Metazoa; Platyhelminthes; Trematoda; Strigeidida; Schistosomatidae
Source: RNAcentral